AGAGUGAAUAGUCGGUGCAUUGUGAAGCAAGCCGAGGCUAGUAUACAGCCUGAGUUUGAUCCAAUCUAAACUUCACGAUCACAAUUCACGAUGAUCACACCGUUAGCUGUAGUGAUGUUUGUAGUAAUUGGUUUGCUGCAUGUUGGAGCAGGCCAUUCGAACGACUUUGAUGCGAUAAAAGGCUGUAAACAGUAUAACACCGAGAUGGGAUACAAUGAUCCACUGGAAUACAUCCCUACCAGCAGCCUACUGUAUAAAUUCAAUAAUACAGUUGAUCAUGGUGAAUUUCAGUACUACAAAAUCGGAGUUCAAGGAACGACUUAUGUUUUUAUUCGGCUGUCAAAUCAUGUGUACCCUUACGACCAAGAGUUGUCUGAAAUUGUGCUGGGUAGUAAUAACAACACGAGAUCGAGCGCUCGGACACAGUACAGGAAUUCGGCAAAUGAAUACAAAAAUACCGAUUUGGCUAGGGUGAUGACACCGAAUCUUUUGUCCCCGUUUCGUCCAGUCAUGCUGAAACUCAAGGUGUGGGUCAACGGCAAGAAGGAAGUCUUUCACGAUGGAGAACACUAUCCUUUCUUAAGCUAGCUCUUAAGCACUAUACUACAAAGGUAGUCCCCCUAUAUAUGGCAUUUACUAAAGUUAUAGAUAAUUUGGUUUUCUUCAACGAUUGCCCAAUGUAAAGUGAUUGUUGAGUAGACUCAUAGUGUGAUUAUGGGAUAUAGUAUUCUUAUGGGUUUUAUACUUCAUAUAAUAUAAAGAAAUAUUGCAUCUUA
This is a long non-coding RNA of Anopheles gambiae (African malaria mosquito), 776 nucleotides long. RefSeq lists it as uncharacterized. The record is from RefSeq and is a predicted model, not a curated record. Lineage: Eukaryota; Metazoa; Arthropoda; Insecta; Diptera; Culicidae. The transcript is spliced from 3 exons.